GCAGCAGUGUGCAGGGAGUGGACUCCCUUUCCCGGCAGAUCCCACCCCGCGCGGCCGCGUUGGGGAGCGGGCUAGGAAAGGAGGCGGUGGCCGCCGCCAUGUUGAUGGCGUGGGACGCUUAGCUCUGGAGGAGCGGUCGGGGAGCCGGGUUAAGAUGUCGGAAAAAGGGGAAGGUUACAGCUGAUUCCUGUGAAAUAAAGCACUUCAUUAUGCCAAGAGGAUACUUAAUUGGAAAGAGUCCUGAAGAGUUUUGCAGGCUUGCUUGAAGUCUUGGCUAAAGUCCAGUAAUGCUGCAGCUCAGGUAAAAUGAAGUCACAAGGAUUUAUUUCAUCCUUUGGCUCCUCCUGGAGGUAAGUACAAGGCAUUUGCUCAGGGUAUUGCUGCCCAGUAACUACACAGGUGGUGUGUUUGCCACAGGGUACACGAGUGCUGGAGGAAAGACGUUGUGAGAUGUUCUGUGGUGCAGAUACUUCACCUGAACAUUGCAGCCUUUCAAGAUUUGCUGGUACUACAGCAAUGUAUGCUAUGCUUUUAUCGCUUCAGGUGCAGCUCCCUCUAGUUCAGGAAGCUGAACCAGUUGCAUGCCAUCGUGCAGAAAGUCCAGUGUUCCAAGAGUGCUUCUCCUCACAGGCAGGUUCUCCAGUUUUAUCAUACUCCUCACUGAACAAAAGGAGUGGUGGGAGUGUAAUGCUCUUUUAAUAAAAUUCAUAGCAUCAAUAGUUCCAUAUAUCUGGAGAAUUCUGAAUUACAAGUACAGCCCUUUUUAUUUCUUUCCUUAUUCUGUUUCUCCUCUAUGCAGAUACCUUUCGAUUAGGUGAGCUGUUGGUGAAAUAAAGGGCACUGGCACUUUGAUGACUUCUGUCACAGCUGUUGUUCACUGUAGACUUUAGGCCUGUGAUUUUAUCUCUGCAUAAAGAUACCUGGUAAGGAUAGUAAAUAUUGAGUGGAAUGGUUGGGUCAAGUUUGGUUAUCUUUUCUAUAAAAUGUCAGAAAAAGUGCAUGUGAAAUCCUCAUCCAGGAUGGUCUGCUGGCUGAAUUACAGGAUGUUUUGUUAAACUGGUUUAGAAACAAUUGGUUUUACCUGCAGUGGUUCCCUUCACUCCCUCAGCAUCCCCCUGCAGUCAGUGCUGCUGCUCUGAGGAGGAUGCUGUGCACCCCACUUUACAGAUAAUUGUAUUUUGUUAUUUAUAUCUUAUUUCUUUAUCUGUAGAUAUAGGUGCCACUGAUGUCUCAGCUAAGGUAGGAAAAAGGAAACGACUUCAGAAACUACCCAAAUGAACAGCUGAUGCAAGAGAGAAGUAAAACAAGUUUUCUCUGUGUGUGUUUUUCACUUUGGUCUGUUUUGGAGGAUUUGAUACUUGCCAGUGCAUGGAUAUUACUUGUUGGUCACAGCUUGUCAGAGAUGUUAAUGAUGAAACCUGUGUUACAUGUCUCAGACUUGGAUAAUCUGUUCACCUGAAAGUGCCAAUGUCCAAAUCUAUCCUGACCCAGCAGGCCUCAAUUGCAAUGUCUGUAAGAAGCUUGCAGUCCUGUUGCAGAAGUAGGUGCUGUGGCUGCAUCCCUUAGGAGAAGAUAGAAGGUGACAGCAGAACCGAAAACCCGCCUGUGGCAUUUCCUAAACAUCAGUAUGCUCUGCUUUAAUGCUGUUAAUGAGCACCUGCUGCAGUGUCUGUGUGCUCCUCAGCCUGUGCAGCCUAGAGGUUUGUGUGUGCUUUACUGUGCUGUCAUCCUGCACUGCAGUACCUAUGGGUUGUUACUGAAGUGAUUGUGGGCACUGUGAACUCUGGUAAGCAACCGCCCUGUUUCCUGACCUGGAAAAUCAGUUGGGAGAUCCUGAAGGAGAGAUGAGGAAGUUAAGUAGGAAUGUGUGAUGACUUUGCUUAAAGAAGAAAAUGCUCAAUCUAAGUCUAAUCCAAGUUCAUACAUAGAAACCUGUCUUCAUGUCUCAGUGCUCAUUCUGACAAGCGUGCUCUGAAAGAAACCAAGCAUUUGGAUACUUAAAUUGGGUAUUCACUGGGUAGUAUACAAAGCCAGGCUGCAUAAGAAACACAGAUUUCAAGAUGAAGUGUACUAAUACAUCAUGUCAUAAUUUUUGGGGUGUGUGGUGGUCUAGGUCUACUGUCACUGUCACAUCCAUGUUAGUACAGCACAGAGAACUGUUGGGGUUCUUGGGAAUGAUGGUCAGGCAUAAUGUCAUUCCUGGUAUACAAAUUAACUGGACAAAAAGGUUUACAUGUGCACUGAAACAAAGUGGAAUAUGGUUUCUAAAAGUGAUACCAUCUAUGCUCAUCUUGGCACAUAAAUUUUGUUUUAAGAUCCUCUUUUCUUAAUUAUCCUGGCUGUAAGUCCCUUUGGGGGAAGGAGUGGAAGUGUUACUGACCAGCUACUUAUUUCAAAGCCUGUAGGGGAAGAGUGUAAAGUCUUUCAAAUUAAAGUUACUGCUCAGAUGAUAGUGGAUGAAGAAGCUGUGAUGAAGGUUGGUUUAUUUUAAUUGUUUCCUAUGGAGCUGUUUGCCAAAAAGUUUCUGGAGGUGCAAGGGGAAAGGUGAGAGGAUGAGUUCAGCUGGGAAGAACAGGUAAGUACUUCUAUAUCAUGUUACUGUUUCCAGGUAUCUUAAUGAUAAUGCCAAGAAUACAUUGUGAGCUUGGAAAAUAGAAAAAGAGUGGAAGGCUUCUGUGCCUUUUUAAAGUGUUCUACAGGAAAUUGUGGGGAGGCAACUGUUAAACCAAUAUCUGGAAGAACCUAGUGUUUGUGCAUAGCCAAACGAGUGUAAAGCAACUCUGGAAAUUAUUCUAAUGACUAAUUAUAAAGUGUUUUCCUUUUUUUUUUUUUUUCUUUCAGCACAAAGAAGAGUGCUCUAAGAGCAGUCAAGAGCCAAAAUAGGAUGGACAUGUUCUUCAGCUGAAACAUGGCAGCAGUUCAAUAGCAGUUACACAAUAGGAAAGGGUGUGCAGGCUGCUGCACGUCCCUGUGUUCUUUAGAUCUGGUGGUAUAUGAAAGAACUCAGUAGAGGGAAAAAGGUGGUUGCUUACACACCUUCAAACUCACUCAGUUCACUCAAGCAAAUGCAUUUGAAAAGAGAGCUCAUCUAAUACUGAAACAGGAAAUUGAUUUUAUUUUAGAUACUGGGAAAGAUAAUCACAAUAUGCAGAAUUUAAAAGUGCUAGUCAGGACACUGGAAAACUGCAAGUAGCUGAAGGACAGGAGGCUCCAAGACUCCAGCUGGGGGAAGCUCCCUUUUGGAAGGCACACUAGCAGUGGGGAAAACUUGCUAAACACAAGGAGGCCCAAAAGUUCUGCAGCCUUUAGCUACACAUGGAUUUGUCUCUUGAGGUGGGAUGGCCUGACAUGACCACUAAAGACCAUAAGGCUGUAGGCAGACUGCAUUUCUCUUAAAAGCACAUAUGCCACUACCCAGUUCAGAACCACCCAAAGAGCUUCAGUUUAUGUCAAAUACUGUUAGUUCCUGGAACAAUAGCUUUUCUUGGCCCCCUAACUCCUGCAGAGCCUGCUGGCUGAUUGUAGCUGUGCACUGAAGAUAAGCCUUCUUCACCCCUGGAUUGCUGGAUAAUGGCACACAAACAUGGCUCAGAUGGACUCAGGGCUGAGCAUGAAUCCUUUGGCUGCCACUGUUUUGCCUUUAAUAUGUACAAUGGAUGCCCUGAGCACUUCCAUGUGGAACAAGAAACAUUGGAGUGCAGGUUUAGAUGUACUUUCUGUAAGCACUGCCCUCUUCAGCACAAAGCUUGAUAAAAUCCUGUGUUGCAUAAAGCAGGUAGAGGUAUCCCAGAGGUUAUGGUUGGUGUGGACCUGACUCAGUUGCCACUAGGAAGGUCUAUUUUUGUUGUGGUGUGGUAAACCUGAGUUGGUAACUGAUACUGUUUAGCUGAUGGGCUUGUCUGUGCCAGGAGAGCAGUCCCUGAGCUGACAAACAUUCAAGCAUGGUACUAGCUUUUACAUCUUUCAACAUAAAAAUAAAAUGGAAACUUUAAAAGGUGGGAGGGGAAAAAGCAGAGGAUUUUUAAGGGCCAGAUAAAUUCUACUGAAAUGAAAAGCUCACUAAGAAUAUCUUCAUUCAAAGAAUGUAUUUUGGGAAAUUACCUCCUGUGUCAAGGGCAAUAUGAGCCUUUGGUUAUGGCAGGUGUCCAGCACUGUUCCUUGGCCCUUUUGUGAGGUUAUAGGGGAAGAGUGUCGGAUGAAGGAAAAGUGAAAGCCAUAACCAGAGGUUAACAUUUAGUUUUAGCAACUAUGUUUAUGUGAAGUGAUGCACCAUUAUUAAUUUUCAAAGCAAGUCCCGCACCUAAAUUGAUGGAAUCCCUGAUCAUGUGUGCAAGUGUCUUUGGGUUCUUCAGUUGUGUGAGUGCAAUGGUGCAACAUUACAUGUUGCAUUCCUGUAUGAUUCAGCUUAAAAUACAAGCUUGGGCAGUGAGUACCUAAACAACAGUAUUGUAGUCAGAGCAAUGACUACAGUAUUGUAGUCAUUCCUCAUGCACAGAAACAUUUCCUUUUGGGUAAGUAAUGCUGCACUGUGAAAAAGCAUGCAGCUCUUAGGACAGCACCAUUUGAUUGAGUUCCCUGUGCUACAAUUCCCUGGAUUUGCUCUCUUCCUUGCCCUGGACUCUACCCAAACUUCUAGUAUUUCUGUAUGUUACCACUGGUUUACUCUUCCAUUUUUGGGUGGGGUUUUUUUGCUGUUUAUUUGCAAAUGCCUCUUCCUGGAAAACUGGCAGCAACAGUAAGUAUCUCAGGUUCCUGGCCAAGUUUCCACUCACAUGGUUUCACUUGCUCCAUUCUGUCAAGUUAUUUACAUGUGGUGUCCUAAGGAUGUAAUUUAGUGGAUUGCUAGUGAGGAGCUAACCUACAUGUUUUGGCUGCAGUCCACAUAAGUUACACAAACCUGCUUCCUCAUGAAUUCAGUGGCUACUCUGGAAGCCCUUGGUUUCCUGAUGCACAACUUUAUGAAAAAGAUAAUGUUACACUGCUCUUGCAGAGAUUUAAAGUUGGUCAUAUUGGCGUUGCUCGCUUUACCUGCUGAGUUGCAGGACCCAGAAUGAUUUCUGAAUCUUGUUCUGCAUGCACAGCACCUAGGGCUCACAAGGUGAGAAGGAUACAUUCUUCAGGUCUGAUGUGCCACAAUACAGGAGAGAUGGCUUAGAGAUGUGUAGUUGAUCACUUAAGCAACCUUGCUCUAGGUAACCCUUAAUCUUCAUGUUCUGGUUUCAUGUGUAUCAGCAUUGUUUUGUUUCUAGUAGAGCAUCUUUGGGCAUGCAUUCCCAGGUAGUGUAAUUACUUGAAUUACCUGCUUUUGAGCUCUUGAAAAAUGCAGUUGCAUGAAGCAGAGGCAGCAGUGACAUUGGUAGUUUGAGGAAUUUGGUGUUACCUUCUGCCCUUGCCUUCCCAUGGUGCAGUACACCAUUCCCUUUCAUGCCAGUGCAACUACCUGGAGCAGCUUACGGAGCUAUCAGUGUCUUAAUCAGGGUGGUAACGCACGCUCCCUGCCCUGAGUAUGCUUUUCUGUGGGUCACUGCUGAUGUCUGGAGGAAGAGGUUUGUAGUUCUAUGGCUUUCUAGAACUUGAAUUAGGUUUGUGAACUGGUUUAGAGUGUUUUCACCAUGGCACAAAAAACAGGUGAUUGGAUGCAUGCCAGAAGUCCAAACUUGUUGUCUUGUUGCUGAAGUCUCUGACUCAUGAAAUUAUGCAUCUAAGGAUGCUGUUAAUUUUGUGGGGAAGGAGCAGCAAUGUCCCUUCUGCACAUGGCUGCUUUUUUAACCCAUGUUUUUCUGUGUUAGGUCUCAUGGCACAGCCUUCUUGUGGUUUUGCUGUGUAUAGCAUUCUGACCAGGCAGAUCAAGUGUUCCUGAUGUCUGUAAGCAGCACUAGAUAUUGUUCAACAUACUCCAGACAAAUUCUUGUACAAACAGAGCUGGAGUAAGAUAUGGAACACUCUUCUCCUGAGUUUGGGGUUUUUUAAGUUACUGAGACAACCAAUGUAUUUUCCUUUGAUUGAACUAAUUCUUAAAUAUAGGGAUUUGUAUAUUACCCCUGCACAUGUAGCCAAAUACAAUUAUAUAUUCAAUGGCAAAGUAGAUCAGCAAAAGAGAAUUGCGUACUAAACUGUUUCACAUAUGAUAGAUAAAAAGCUAAUCCCUAUUGUCAUUUUUGCAAUGCUCCUGCUUCCAGUGAAGGCUGCUCUGCUGUGACCUCUUGCUAUGCAAUUACGAUUUCCUUUCCCUGUUCUGAUAAUGGUGAAUGUUGCCCUCUGAUGACGACAAUGAGGUGACAGCUGUUUCAGAGAGACCUACAGUGGCUUCACUGUACAUGCUCUGCCUCAGUGGAUGUCAGCUAAGAGUAAUUGCAUCCCCCAAGAGUUAGACUUGCUGCUGUUGACCUUUCUGGAGAAACAAACAUGAAGUAGAGGCACGUGCAAUCCUCACAUGAGCUGGCAGCCAGGUGGGUGCUGUGUGUCACCAGGGAUGACAGGCAGUCACACUUUACUAAUAGCAGUGAGGUGCAUUUGGCCUCUUGAAAAUUCUUGCCCACUGAAAGCUCUCAUCUCCAGGGUAGAUUGUGACUGGGGGAACUGCUGUCCCAUGCUACCUCCUGGAAACAAGGGGGUGAUGAAAUGGAGUUUAUUUUAGUAGGUUCAAAGAGAAUAAAUUAAUGUUAUUCAUUAUAAAUAUUCACACAAUAAUUCAUAAGUAUUUUUAUAGUGUAAAUUGUUCCUAAGUACAUAUCUGGAAAUCUAGGCAUAUAUGUAUAUAAAAUGUAUGUAUUUAAAUACAUUUGUAUACAUUGUUUUAUAAUUCAUAAUCUAACACUUAGUAAAAUACAAAUUAGUAAAUUGUAUUUACUAAUUUGUAUUAAUUUAUUCUUUUUACAAAUAGUAAAAAGAAUCGUGGGAAAGGAGAGGAGCUUUGUGUUGACAAACUCCUGGGAUGGAGAAACUAUUCCUUGAGAACAAAUAGAACACACAUGUCUGGUCCACAGCAUGAAUGGUCCACAGUUGGCAUGGAUUGUUUUGUUAAAACUGCUCAUGACUGUCUUUUAAACUCAUAACCUUGGGAGGGUGGAUUAACUUUGUCAUAAGCACUGAGGCAUGUGACAUGCUUAGCCAUGAAAGCAAGGAUGUGAGGGGUCUCACAAGUUUCUGUCAACACUUCAGUGAUGAUGUGGCUCCCUGGGAUGGGUGGCAUUGCUGCCAUUCAUUCUGUGUGACACUGCAGCCUCAUCCACAUGGGUUUGAUGGUACCUCAAAUAUCCCAGCCUUUUGCUAUACUCGGUUCUCUGUUACCUGAAGUUAAAUUUAGGUGCAGAUCACAUCAGCCAAGAUCUUGCUUUUGGAAUAUGUCUGUCUCACUCACUGGUAUGAGUGACUCUGCUUCUUGGGUAGUAUUGAUUUACCAUCUUAUUUCUCCCAAAGGAAACAUGCGCUCUGAACUUUCCUUGUGCUCUGGCAGUGCUUUAUGUGUGCAACCUCCAGGUAAUGUUCACCUCCAUGGAUGUAAGGGAACAGCUAUCCCAGUCUUUCCUAAAUUUACUGCUCAGCAGUCAGUGACAUUGUGGGAAAAACAAAGCAUUAUUUUGCUCAUGUCCACCAUCCACAAAUGGCAUUUGGUUUUCAUCACCAUUUUGUUUCUAGCUAACAUGUCUGCUAACACACAGGUUUUCAAACUCCCUUUUUUUUUUCUUUUUCUACUAUUUCCUUGUCACCCAUAAGUAAUACAUUGCACUCAGUGUUUAGUGUGUGAGAAACCCUAGGAUGAUUCCCUGUAGUAGUAAAUUUUAGCUGUGGGGAGAUGGUGAUUCUGGUGGCUGCAGAAUUCCACCUAUAGCAUCCCAUCAUUAUAAAGAAAAAAGUAAGUUUGGAGGAAAGAGCCCUCUUUGAAUCUGGGUAGGGAAAGAGAUGUAUUAACACUUAAAAAGUAGACAAAAAUUGUUCUUCAUGUGCCAAGUUUCAUAUAUUUAACCUUUGCAUUUUAAAAUUUUAAAGUUGUGCAUUCUGUUUCCUAAACUGAUGACACUUGAGGAAAGCCAGUCGCUUCAAAUACCUCCAACACAGAAGUGGUGUUUUGCAGAUGCCCAGGGAAGAUGCAGAUGCACAGUAUUGCUGAGAAGCAGCCUGUCACAGCUAAAAUACAGUAGUGCAAAAACCUGUCAGCAGGCUGUGCAAACCCAGCCCUUCAUAUACGUUAUGUCUACAGUGUUCUGUGUGAAAGCUAUUAUCCCUUGGAAAACUUGCUGACACGUUUUAACAAGGAGAAUCAAAGACUUAGAAGUACCUCUGCAGGGUUCCCCUAAUUUGUACUGCAUUCAUUAUCAUAGUCAACUACUGCCCUCUCUUUAGUAAAGAUUAUAUUGGAAGCCAUCCAUAGAUAAAUAACUUCUUGAUACAGUUUUAACUAUUCAUCCAUUUGCAUAUGGCCUGGUUUUGACAUCAGCAGGUAUGUUCACAUUUCUGAGUCCAAAAUGCAAGGUUGCUUUAUGUUAUUUCUUUAGAAACAGUAGAAGUCAUAAAAGAAGGCCUAAUUUUCAAAACAUAAAUAUUACAUUUGUAUUUUAUUUAAAAUAAAAUCACGCAGAUGGAGGUGCAAGUCAGUACAGGGUUUGUUCAGGCAGGGUUUGUGGUUUCCUAGCCCACCUGUUCUGCCUGCAGAGCAGCAGAGAGAGCACAGUUUGUGCAAUCAUAAAUCCUGUUCAUACCUUCUCUCCUGGCAGACUCCUAGGGACAGGGCUGUAAGGUGAAACCUGGGCUGGAUGCAACUGCAAGGGGAGGAAGGGAAUAGCAGCUUCCCUUUGCAGGACCCCAGGGCACCCUGAAACGCAAAAGGACACGGAGAGGGGCCUACCUCGCUCCCUCCCAGCUGCCCUCGUCACACUGCUCAAGUCUCUGGGGUAGCUGAACGCCACGUGGUGCUGCAAAAUGCACGUCAGGGGCGUUGAUCUCUGCUGGCUCUGGAACUGGAGAGGCUGCUGUAGCUGCCUGAGCUGCUGGCCCCCUGUACCGGUGGGUGUUCACCAGCAGAGGGUGGCUCUAAGACCGUUCAUGUAUUCCUGUAAUGUUUAAACACACUACAGCGUGAAAACCGUGAUGGCCUCAGUGCUUCCUUUAGUGCCUAAUACUUAAUCUUUAGUUAGUAAUUACAAGAAAGAAGUAUCUGGCAAAGGUUUUUGUUUCAGCUUCCCCUCGCUGAUUUGUUUUUGUUUUUUUUCUCCUCUGACAUUAUUCUUCCAGGUAAGAAUAACCAAAUAUAGUUAAGGAUCAAGGGAUUUGAAAUAAAUAAUUGCAUAAGUUGUCAGUGCUCUAGCAUUUAUUAGGGAUUGAAACAUAAGACACUAAUAUUGAAUGGAAGUAAUUUUGCUGAACUUCAGACACCUAACAGAUGUCCAGUGUGUGCUUGGGCUUUCCUUGCACUCUGUGGAGAGCACUGCACACAUCCCAAGAUUGAUUUCAGCUCCUCUUACCCUAAUUCAAGAUCUCAGUCUAGAGAACACAAGCUAACAGGAGCCUGAGCCCAAACAGCACUUGUGUGUGUAUAAUUAUUCUCACAUGGAACCCCACUAUGUGCGACAGUUAAUGACUACAUGGUUAAUUAUGUGAGUAGUUUAUGUAGGAAUGGGUUCAAUUCUUGUGUCUGUGUUGCAGGGAGACUAAUUUGUGUCUUGAGAUGUUUGUUCAUUGACCAUAGAGGAAGCAGAGGUCAGACUAGCUCAAAGUGAGCUAUCUGACCUCCACAUCUAGCUGAGAUACAGCUCAGCCGCUGUGCCUGCAGGCUGCUGCUGCUGCUAACGGUGGGUCAUACUCUGCUUCAUCUUUGAAGGCCUGCACACACUUGGUAGGUUUUAUAGACCUGAUUUCACAUCUAAGGGAAUAAAGUGUAACAGUUCAUGUAAUUAGUAGACAGUCAUUAACUUCUCUGAAAUCAGUGGAAUUCCACAUGGGACCAUGUGUGAGUGAAUAUGUAGUUCAGGCUGUUGCUGACUGGAGACCUGUUGAGAAGCUCUACAAAAUAAAAGGUAGUAGUAAAUGAUGAUGGAAAAUUUUUCAUGUUCUAAUAUAUAGUGAUUUAUAUUCUGAAUUAGAUACUCUGUUCAGAAUUAUCCUACAUAUAUUUAAGUAGUUUUAAAAGGUUUGAACUAAAAUUCAGACAUUCUUGUUCUUGAUUUCAGUUUAUUUACUGCUCAGAAAUUAUUUUCAAAAUGGAAUUCCUAUCUAAAGUUCUUCAAUUAAAAAACCCAAACACCUGAGUACCAGCAGUUUUGAACUAUUGCAGAAGUAUAGCAUAGAUGCAGCCUCAGUAUUUACCAGAGUAGAUAAAAUUCCUCUCUGUUUGCAGAAAUAGAGCAACUUAGGGACCAACUCAAGCAAAAAAUUGAAGAGGCAUCUUUACAAAGUCUACAAACAGCAGAUGACCUCUGGCUUUCUCUUCCACAGAAGACAGGCAAUACCAAAUGUGAAGAGGAUUCACUUCCUCCUUCCUGCCUGAUCGGCAGGUAUCAAGCCUUUUGAGCCUGUUUCCAAAACCAUAUCCAUAAUGCAAGAAGUGUUUGAUGUAUGUAAAAAUAGAGACAUGCCACAACAAUGAUUAAGGGAUUAGAGGAAAAGGAUCAGGAGGACAAGAGAAGAUUAUUGCAGACACAAGGGUGUAUCAAUGACACCAGCAUACACUGUGGUUCUUCUGGAAGUUUCCAGUCCACACCAGACUAAUCAGAGCUUUCUGCAGGAUGUAAGCAUGCCCAGCACUUGUACUCUGCUUGAGGUUAAGAUGGAAAAUCCUGUGUGUGAUUCCCUCCUCUUAAUGACCUGUUUGUAUACAGAUGGGCUUUCCAGUUAUGGAAAUGACCCAUGACUUAUGAAAUAGCCUCUUCCUGUUUGCAAUGAUGCAGUGAAGUAUUGAGUCAUCUCUAACCCUUGAGCCUUCCCUGUACAAGCUCUUUGUUGUUUGCAACGUGUCCCCUGGGAUUUGGAUUGAUGAUACUGGACAAUUGUUUUCACUUGAACUGGUCCCAGUUUUACCAGUUUUGGAUUAAUUACUGCUCUUUCCUAGAGGAAAAGGUUUGAUCCACAUCACUGCUGAUUUGAAUUAUAAUAACUUACUGAAAAAAUA
Molecule: non-coding RNA, 11104 nt
Organism: Zonotrichia albicollis (white-throated sparrow)
Lineage: Eukaryota; Metazoa; Chordata; Aves; Passeriformes; Passerellidae
Source: RefSeq, a predicted model, not a curated record